GACGAACGCUGGCGGCGUGCCUAAUACAUGCAAGUAGAACGCACAGUUUAUACCGUAGCUUGCUACACCAUUGACUGUGAGUUGCGAACGGGUGAGUAACGCGUAGGUAACCUGCCUGGUAGCGGGGGAUAACUAUUGGAAACGAUAGCUAAUACCGCAUAAUAUUGAUUAUUGCAUGAUAAUUAAUUGAAAGGUGCAAUUGCACCACUACCAGAUGGACCUGCGUUGUAUUAGCUAGUAGGUGAGGUAACGGCUCACCUAGGCGACGAUACAUAGCCGACCUGAGAGGGUGAUCGGCCACACUGGGACUGAGACACGGCCCAGACUCCUACGGGAGGCAGCAGUAGGGAAUCUUCGGCAAUGGACGAAAGUCUGACCGAGCAACGCCGCGUGAGUGAAGAAGGUUUUCGGAUCGUAAAGCUCUGUUGUAAGAGAAGAACGGGUGUGAGAGUGGAAAGUUCACACUGUGACGGUAUCUUACCAGAAAGGGACGGCUAACUACGUG
This 505-nucleotide ribosomal RNA is filed under the name uncultured bacterium. RNAcentral describes it as "partial 16S ribosomal RNA". It matches the Rfam family "Bacterial small subunit ribosomal RNA", at positions 28 to 507 of the family's 1533-position model. The record is from RNAcentral.